GAUGAACGCUGACAGAAUGCUUAACACAUGCAAGUCAACUUGAACUUCGGUUUGGGUGGCGGACGGGUGAGUAACGCGUAAAGAACUUGCCUCACAGAUAGGGACAACAUUUGGAAACGAAUGCUAAUACCUGAUAUUAUGAUUAUAUGGCAUCGUAUAAUUAUGAAAGCUAUAUGCGCUGUGAGAGAGCUUUGCGUCCCAUUAGCUAGUUGGAGAGGUAACGGCUCACCAAGGCGAUGAUGGGUAGCCGGCCUGAGAGGGUGAUCGGCCACAAGGGGACUGAGACACGGCCCUUACUCCUACGGGAGGCAGCAGUGGGGAAUAUUGGGCAAUGGACCAAGAGUCUGAUCCAGCAAUUCUGUGUGCACGAUGAAGUUUUUCGGAAUGUAAAGUGCUUUCAGUUAGGAAGAAAAAAAUGACGGUACCAACAGAAGAAGUGACGGCUAAAUACGUG
Molecule: ribosomal RNA, 454 nt
Filed under: uncultured bacterium
Lineage: Bacteria
Description: partial 16S ribosomal RNA
Rfam family: Bacterial small subunit ribosomal RNA
Source: RNAcentral